CAAUAAUAAGCUAAGAAAUUAUUCAUUGCCUUCUUUGUCUUUUCUAUAAUGUAGUAGUGUGAGUAAUGUACUUUGCAUCCAGUUAACUUCUAUUUCACUUACAUGUUUUGGGUUAAAAUGUUACCAGAACUUUUAUAGAGGACUGUCCUCUCAUUGAGCUGAGGGUUGAACUUAACUGGCCAUGACUAUUUUUUUUUUGUGACAAAUUUAUCACCUCACCUGUGAUCUGUUUAUUUAUUUAUUUUUAAUCAUUUUCCUGUGAUUUUGCUGUUGGCGUGGUAAUUCUUACUCUAAAAUCAAAACCAACAUUCAGGAUUCCUAAAACAUUGAAAUUCUGAAAGUCAAAAAAAUGGCUGUGAAUGCAUCACCUUCCUCUCAAAAAAACAUCUCUGUAAGUCUCUGAAAGCUUCGUCCACUUCAUAUUUUAAUUUGGGCCCAGUCUAACCUAAAGGAGUCUUCAGGUUUGAUAUGCCAAGUCAUCAGUACUCAGACUUUGACUUUUCACUAGUUUCCCUCGUCACUAAUCACUGCAUAACAAAGUCAUAAUUUUACUCCAAAUUCUUUUUCCUGGUCCUGCACGUGCCCACAGUAAGCCGGAGAUUAUGUGUCUGUGUAGUUUGUAAACACAAACACAAACACAAACACAAACUCUCUGGUACACACACAAAGCAGCGUAUAAUUGGCUUAAACCCUUAAACAUUCCAUGCCUAAACCGUGCUGGAAGUAGUUAGGAACUUUAGGAAAGACAUGGUGAGGACUGUACAGCGCUUUGUAUUUGAGGGAACAAACUUAGAAAAUUAACAAUUAAACUACCAGCAGUUAGAGUUCAACUUGUUUACAAGACAUUUAGAGAGGGAGGUGGAGAAGGAGAGGGGGAGGAAAAGAAGGGAGGAGGGAAAGGGGGAUGAGGGCAAUUUGUGCAAGGGGAAAACAGGCUGAAAGUCCAGUUAGGGGAAAGUUCACUCUUGUUUGGUGGAGAGCAGAGGUAGAAGAAAGACAGGAGCGGUGCUGCCGGGGUCAUUCUCUCAGGACAGGGGCGGCAUUGCCAGAGAGAGCUGCAUGUGCUGCUUGUGCCCGAGAGAGAAGAAGAGAGCGGCCCACCCUUGUAUGGGAAGGAGUAGAGGAUGAAGGAGAUGAGUAAGACAUAUGCCAUUGUGGAAGUGAUUGAAGGAGAACAGAUUCAACUGACAGAUGCAGCAGCAGCAGCAGCAGCAGCUCUAACUCCCAGCCUCAAGUCCCUGAUUAUCAGACGAGACACAGAGCGAUAGGGUGGGGGUGUUUUCAUUUUCUGCUUUUUUCUGUUUGUGUGUGUGUGUGUGUUUGCAUGUUAUGGCUAUUUCUGCAAGACAAGCACUCAGGUUAUGGCCCAUUUAAGCUCAUACUUGUCAUCAUGUUGGGGUUCACCAUGUAACUGGAGAAGGAAUAGUUGUAACGCUUGUGUUGUUUUUAGGGAAGAGAACCCAGAUAAAGCCUGCUGUAGCUCUACCUGAUACUGCUCUGUGUGGUUGAUUGGUUUAAUCACUCUUACACGUUCCCACACACACAUAUGCUUGUGUGAGAUUGAUUAAAUUACCUUAGCCUGGUCAGUUUGGGAGAAACUUGCUCGAUAAACUGAGAGAGAAACUCAAAGCACAGAUCAGUGUGUUAAUUGUGCUGCAAAAAUUCCAGCUUUAUUCCCGGCUGUCAGAACAGCGAGUGAAACUCACCUGCUAAUCCUGAUGGGGAUUAAAGCAGCAAACUCCAAGGAAUUCUUGGAAUCUCAAAGUUUAGUAAAAGCCGGGAACACCACCGAAUACCAGGCACAAGUGAACAGUUUGACUCUUAAGUGUUUGUGUGUGUGUGAGUGUGUGUGUGUGUGUGUGUGUGUGUGUGUGUGUGUGUGUGUGUGUGUGUGUGUGUGUGUGUACAUGUGUGGAAGAAUCCCAGACAUGCUUGAUUGUUAAAUUGAAUUAAAUGGACUCUUGCUGGAGUCCAGUAUGGAGGUGAGUUUCACAGUCAGACUGUUGUCCAUGUGGAAGCAUGGAGGACAGUGGCCAGUUUCUGCAAAAAUCUUCAGAUUGAGACAUUUUAUUCAUUUUUAUUUGGGGUUUGACACUUGCCAAGAUUCAUUUCAGAUUUACUUCUGAUUUUCUUACAAAUAAUAUUUGGAGGAGAUAAGGAGAUUGUCUGAACUGCUAUUGUUUAUUGAUUAAUGUCAACUAUUAAUGUUAAGACAUAAUUUCAACACUUAUGCAGCUUAAGGUGCAGCUACACCUGCAACAAAGUGUAUCAGUAUUGGAAGAAGAGUUUUAAACCAUUACAAAGUAAUUUCCUUCUUGCUCCCAGCCAUCUAUGCUUCAUGCAUUCUUUAGAUCUUUUGGGAGUAUACAGGUUAUAUGCAGAAAAUGAAGCUGCAUAGGUCUAUGUGUAUAUUGUUGUGUGUGUAUGUGUUUGAUCUCACAGCUCACACAGUAGCCAAAAGAUUAAGACAGCUUCUCCUUUGAGUUCGUUAUCUUUCAGGCCUCAUUAGCAGUGUCAUAUUUGCCCUUGCUUCCGGGAGUGUGGCACGGAUGCUUACAAGGCAUAAAAAUUCCAUCGUGCUCAUUAAGCAAUACAAUUAAAAGGAGAUCACAUCAUUUCAGAAGUCCGUGCAAAACUAAAUCACAGUUGUUUCGCAACGUCUAAAGUACAAGAAUUUGUGGAGACCACUAGACAAGUUUAAGUUCAGUAGCCGGAUGAGACAAAGGAGAAGAGCCAUAAAGAGAGAUAAGAUAGAUAGCGUGAUAGUCAAUCAUUGCUGUGGACCUGGCAAGCUGUUCUCAGGUGUGAUGUUUUGCAUUAUCUCCUACUAUCUGCUCUUUACAGCACACUAAACACUGAAACUGGCUGUAUAAAAGACACUUACCAAAGUGUAUGAAGUCGUAAAUGUUUGUGUAAAUGUGUUGUAUAUAAAUGACCUGCACCAGCCUGACCUGA
Molecule: long non-coding RNA, 2955 nt
Organism: Mugil cephalus (flathead mullet)
Lineage: Eukaryota; Metazoa; Chordata; Actinopteri; Mugiliformes; Mugilidae
Exons: 2
Source: RefSeq, a predicted model, not a curated record